Molecule: ribosomal RNA, 455 nt
Filed under: uncultured bacterium
Lineage: Bacteria
Description: bacterial SSU rRNA
Rfam family: Bacterial small subunit ribosomal RNA
Source: RNAcentral
UACAUGCAAGUCAACUUGACUUUAGAUAGCAAUAUCGAAAAGUAGGGUGGCGCACGGGUGCGUAACGCGUAGGUAAUCUGCCCUGAGGUCUGACAUAACCCGUUCGAAAGGCGGGCUAACAUCAGAUGAUAUAUAAUCACGACAUCGUGGAAAUAUCAAAUCUUCGGAGCCUUGGGAUGAGCCUGCGUCUGAUUAGGUAGUUGGCGGAGUAAUAGCCCACCAAGCCUACGAUCAGUAGCUGGUCUGAGAGGAUGAUCAGCCACACUGGAACUGAGACACGGUCCAGACUCCUACGGGAGGCAGCAGUAAGGAAUAUUGCUCAAUGGGGGAAACCCUGAAGCAGCAACGCCGCGUGAAGGAUGAAAUACUUUGUAUGUAAACUUCUGUAAGAUGGGAAAAUAUUCUCCUCGGGAGAAUUGAUUGUACCAUCAGAGUAAGCCCCGGCAAACUACGUG